Molecule: ribosomal RNA, 460 nt
Filed under: uncultured bacterium
Lineage: Bacteria
Description: partial 16S ribosomal RNA
Rfam family: Bacterial small subunit ribosomal RNA
Source: RNAcentral
CCUACGGGAGGCAGCAGUGAGGAAUAUUGGUCAAUGGACGAGAGUCUGAACCAGCCAAGUAGCGUGAAGGAUGACUGCCCUAGGGGUUGUAACCUUCUUUUAUAAAGGAAUAAAAUGAGGCACGUUUGCCUUUUUGCAGUUACUUUAUGAAUAAGGAUCGGCGACCUCCGUGCCAGCAGCCGCGGUAAUACGGAGGAUCCGAGCGUUAUCCGAAUUUUUGGGGUUUAAAGGGAGCGUAGAUGGGUUGUUAAGUCGGUUGUGAAUGUUUGCGGUUCACACGUUAAAUUGCGAUUGAUACUGGCUGUCUCGAGUGCAGAUGAGGUGGGCGGAAUUCGUGGUGUAGCGGUGAAAUGCUUAGAGAUCACGCAGAACACCGAUUGCGAAGGCAUCUUACGAAACUGUGACUGACACUGAUGCUCGAAAGUGUGGGUAUCAAACAGGAGUAGAUACCCUAGUAGUC